Molecule: microRNA precursor, 96 nt
Filed under: Nicotiana sylvestris (wood tobacco)
Lineage: Eukaryota; Viridiplantae; Streptophyta; Magnoliopsida; Solanales; Solanaceae
Also listed under: 1 other name
Description: MIR6152 microRNA precursor family
Rfam family: MIR6152 microRNA precursor family
Source: Rfam by way of RNAcentral
UAGAAAGAUUAUUGUAUUCGACUGUAUUCACGGCGUGAAAUAGGGGAUUACACUAUUUUUAAACGGAAAGUGAAUCAAUUAACAUAAUAGACUCAU